This 73-nucleotide transfer RNA is filed under the name Stegodyphus mimosarum. It matches the Rfam family "tRNA". Rfam says of the family: Transfer RNA (tRNA) molecules are approximately 80 nucleotides in length. Their secondary structure includes four short double-helical elements and three loops (D, anti-codon, and T loops). The record is from Rfam by way of RNAcentral. Lineage: Eukaryota; Metazoa; Arthropoda; Arachnida; Araneae; Eresidae.
GCCAUCGUGGUGUAACGGUUGGCACACUCGACACGUAUUCAAGAGGUCCAGGGUUCGAGUCCUGGCGAGGACA